AUUGAACGCUGGCGGCAUGCCUUACACAUGCAAGUCGAACGGCAGCACGGGAGCAAUCCUGGUGGCGAGUGGCGAACGGGUGAGUAAUAUAUCGGAACGUGCCCAGUCGUGGGGAUAACGUAGCGAAAGCUACGCUAAUACCGCAUACGAUCUAUGGAUGAAAGCGGGGGAUCGCAAGACCUCGCGCGAUUGGAGCGGCCGAUAUCAGAUUAGGUAGUUGGUGAGGUAAAGGCUCACCAAGCCGACGAUCUGUAGCUGGUCUGAGAGGAUGAUCAGCCACACUGGGACUGAGACACGGCCCAGACUCCUACGGGAGGCAGCAGUGGGGAAUAUUGGACAAUGGGCGCAAGCCUGAUCCAGCAAUGCCGCGUGCAGGAUGAAGGCCUCGGUU
This 391-nucleotide ribosomal RNA is filed under the name uncultured bacterium. Its description in RNAcentral is "bacterial SSU rRNA". It matches the Rfam family "Bacterial small subunit ribosomal RNA", at positions 30 to 424 of the family's 1533-position model. The record is from RNAcentral.